Molecule: non-coding RNA, 9940 nt
Organism: Rattus norvegicus (Norway rat)
Lineage: Eukaryota; Metazoa; Chordata; Mammalia; Rodentia; Muridae
Source: RefSeq, a predicted model, not a curated record
GCCCAUCUGCUUCCCCACGAGGACGUCAGUCAGCGGCAAGCUUGUUGUGAAAUCACAAUGUCACGCUCUGUGCAAAAUGAACGGUGCGCCAAGACUGCAGACAGAACCAAAGCAAGGAGAAGCAUCCUGGCUGAGAUCUACUUUGAAAGACCAGUCUGCUGAGAGACCAGAGGCUUACAGAGACAGUCUCCAAUCUCUGUGAAGGAAACACGACCACGAGAAACCACCGUCUGUCAGAACCUCAGAGACUGUAAUGUUCCUGCUUCUGCCUUUCCUACACGGCGCGCGCCGCCAAGCUUGCUUCCUUGGCUUUAGGGUCUCACUGUGGAGCGCAGUGUGAUUCUUUGUAUCAACCAUGACCCUGAGAGUUGGAGGCAAGCAUCUUUACCUGUUGAGCUAUCUCACUGGCCCCCUAACAAACGUUUUACAGGCUUUGAAGAGGUAGACCGUAAAAUUAGCCCAAAGUUAGGAUACUUGAAUUGCGAUAAACCUUUUGAAGUUCUAGAAGUUAUCAGGCUUGAAAAGUACACAGGUGCCUGGUUUUGAGCCUGUUUCAUUCACAGACACGCAGAAACUAUUCCAGAACAAGGAGACGCUAUCACAGGCACGGGGCUACGAGUCUAAGAAGUACCCCUGUGAAGUACACCUCAAACAGGAAGUACUAUGGAAUAUACCUCAAACACACAGUGGAGUCUGCCUCAGAUGAGAAAUAAUACAGAGUAUUGUUUUUGGUUGGUUUUUUUUUUUUUUCCAAAACAAGUUGUUGUCUUUGGACCUCCGAAGAUAACGAAUGCUUUCCGGCCGUGUUUAAAUGUCAGUAUGAACACACGGGCUCCUAACAUGUUACACAGAGAGAAGUUAUGAAUCAGAACCAUGUGCGAGCACAUGAGGCUGUCUCCACUUCAUUGAACACAUAUCCUGAUGAGGUUGAAAGAAAAAAAAGACUCGAAUCUCUUCAAGCAAGCUCAGUACACGACUAUUUUGAGAAAUCGGUUUAACUAGUACUAAAUUAAGCUCAAAUUCAUAGCUCAAAGCCAGCUCUGUGAAUAAUUGUUGGAACACUCAAUUUAACAACCUGUGUGCAAAAUUAGCCAUACUUGAAAAUUCAAGGAAAAGGCAUAGAAAAGAGAGCACUUAUGAAUAGCACUGUUAGCAGAAACAUUUAUAGCAGGGAAAUUGUCAGAACGAAAGUAUCUAGAGUAGUGGUUCUCAACCUGUGGGUUGUGACCCUUGUUAUUUUUGCAUUAAUUAUUUUUAUUAAUUAAUUAUUUUAUUUAUUUACAUCCCAAGUGCUGCCUCCUUCCUGGUCCCCCCCAGGCAUCCCCCUACUCAAGGGCAUCAAGUCUCCACAGGAUGAGGCACGUCCUCUCCCACUGAGGCCAUAAGGCAGUCCUCUGCUACAUGUGUGCCAGGAGCCUCCGACCAGCCCAUGUGUGCUCUUUGGUUAGUGGCUCAGUCUCUGGGAGCUCCCAUAUUAGUUGACACUGUUAGUCUUCCUUUGGGAUUGCCAUCCCCUUCAGUUCCAGUCCUUGCCCUAACUCUUCCAUAGGAGUCCCUGACCUCCUUCCAGUGCUUGCUGUGAGUAUCUGCAUCUGUCACAGUCAGCUGCUUCAGAAAUCCUCUCAAAGGACAGCCAUGCUAGGUUCCUAUCUGCAAGCACAACGUGGCAUCAGCAAUAGUGUCAGGGAUUGGAGUCCACCCAUAGGAUGGAUCCCGAGUUGAAAGUGCUACUGGUCAGCCAUUCCCUCCAUCUCUGUUCUAUUUUUGUCCCUGCAUUUCUUUUAGACAGGAGCAAUUUGUGGUGGAGUUUUGUCAGUGGGUUGGUGUCCCCAUCCCUCCACUAGAGGUCCUGUCUGACUUCUGGAGGUGGUCUCUUCAAGCUCCAUAUACCCACUGUUGGGCAUUUUGGCUAAGGUCAACCACAUUGAGUCCUGGGAGUCUCCCACAUCCCAGGCCUCUGGGACUCCCUAGAGAUUCUUCCCAUUCCCCUCCUCUGGCAACAUUCAUUAUCCUGGCCCUCUGGGCGCCUCUCCUGUUUCUCCCCAUACUUGAUCCUGUACCCCUAUUCCCCCUCCCCCUCCAAUCCAGACCCCUCCCUCCCUCUGUGUUCCAUGACUAUUUUGUUCUUCCUUCUAAGUGGGAAUUAAGCAUCCUUCCUUAGGCCUCCCCUCUUGUUUAAAACUUCAUCGGGACUGUAGGGUAUAACAUGGGUAGUGUAUACUUUUUGGCUAAUAUACACUUAUCAGUGAGUACAUACCAUACAUGUCCUUUGGGGUCUGGGUUACCUCACUCAGUCUGAUAUUUUUAGUUCCAUCCAUUUGCCUGCAAAUUUCAUGAGGUCCUUGUUUUUAAUAGCUAAAUAGUAUUCCAUUGUGUAAACGAAACAUUCUUCAGUCGUGAUAUAUCUGGGUUGCUUCUAGUUUCCAGCUUUUAGUAAUAGUGCUAUAAGCAUAGUGGAGCACAUAUGCCCAGGAACAGUGUAUAUGGGUCUUCAGGUAAAACUAUUUCUAGUUUUCUGAGAAACCACAAGGUUGAUUUCCAGAGUGAAUGGACAAGUUUGCAAUCCUACCAGCAAUGGAGGAGUGCUUUCCUGUCUCCAUGUCAUGUGCUGUCACUUGAGUUUUUGAUCUUAGCCAUUCUCAUUGGUGUAAAGCGGAAUCUCAGGGUUGCUUUGAUUUGCAUUUCCCUGAUGACUAAAGAUGUUGAACAUUUCUUUGUUUCUUGGCCAUUCAAGAUCCCUCUGUUGAGAAUUCUCUGUUUAGCUCUGUAGCUAUUUUUAAUUGGUUUAUUUGGGGUUUUUGGUGUCAAUCUUCUUGAGUUCUUUGUAUAUUUUGGAUAUUAGCCCUCUUUCAGAUGUAGGGUUAAUGAAGAUCUUUUCCCAAUCUGUGGGCUGCCAUUUUGUCCUAUAGUCAGUGUCCUUUACCUUACAGAAGCUUUUCAGUUUCAAGAGAUCCUAUUUAUCAAUUGUUGAUCUUAGAGCCUGAGCCAUUGGUGUUCUGCUCAGGAAAUUUUCUCCUGUGCCCAUGUGUUCAAGACUAUUUCCCACUUUCUCUUCUAUUAGAUUCAGCAUAUCUGGUUUUAUGUUGAAGUCCUUGAUCCACUUGGACUUGAGCUUUGUGCAGAGUAAUACAUAUGGAUCUAUUUGCAUCUUCUACAUGUAGACAUCCAGUUAGACCAGCACCAUUUGUUGAAGAUGAUUCCUUUUUCCCACUAUAUGGUUUCAGUUUUUUGUCAAAAAUCAAGUGUCUGUAGUGUGUGGGUUGAUUUCUGUGUUUUUUAUUCUAUUCCAUUGAUCAACUUGUCUGUUUCUGUAUCAGUAUCAUGUGGUUUUGUUAUCACAACUGCUCUGUAGUACAGCUUGAGGCCAGGGAUGAUGAUUCCUCCAGAAGUUCUUUUGUUCAGAAUUGUUUUGGCUAUCCUGGUUCUUGUUUUCUAUAUGAAGUUGAGAAUUGCUCUUUAAAGGUCUGUAAAAAUCUGUGUUGGAAUUCUAGUGGGAAUUGCAUUAAACCUGUAGAUUGCUUUAAGAAAGAUGGCCAUUUUCACUAGAUUAAUCCUACCAAUCCAUGAGCAUGGAGAUCUUUCCAUCUUCUGAGGUACUCUUUGAAUUCUUUCUUUGGGGACUUGAAAUUUUUGUCAUACAGUUCUUUCACUUGCUUGGUUGGAAUUGCACUAAGACAUUUUAUAUUAUUUAUGUCUAUUCUGAAGGGUGUUGUUUCCUUAUUUUCUUUCUCAGCCCAUUUAUCAUUUGUAUAAAGGAGGGAAUUGGUUUGUUUUAGUUAAUUUUAUAUACAGCCACUUUGCUGAAGUAGUUUAUCAACUGUAGGAAUUCUCUGGUAGAAUUUUUGGGGUUACUUAAGUAUACUAUCAUAUUAUCCACAGGUAAUGAUGUCUUAACUUCUUCCUUUCCAAUUCAUACACCCCUCUGGAUUUCCUUUUGUUGUCUUAUUGCUCUAGCUAAAACUUCAAAUACUGUAUUGAAUAGAUAGGGAGAGAGUGGGCAGCCUUGUCUUGUCCCUGAUUUUAGUGGGAUUGCUUCAAGUUUCUCUCCAUUUAAUUUGAUAUUGGCUAUUGAUUUACUGUAUAUUACUUUUACUGUGUUUAGGUUUGGGCCUUGAACUCCUGAUCUCUCCAAGACUUUUAAAAUGAAGGAUAUUGUAUUUUGUCAAAGGCUUUUUUAGCAUCUAGUGAGAUAAUUAUGUGAAUUUUUUCUUGAGUUUCUUUAUCUAGUGGAUUACUUUGGUGAAUUUUUGCAUACUGAACCACCCCCCGUGUCCCUGGGAUGAAGCCAACUUAAUUGUGGUGAAUGAUGUUUUUUAUGUGUUCUUGGAUUCAGUUUGCAACAAUUGAAUAUUUUUUUUUUGAUGUUUAUAAGGGAAAUUAGUCUGAAGUUCUCUUUCUUUGCUAGGUCACUGUAUGGUUUAGGUGUCAGGGUAAGUGUGUCCUCAUAUAAUGAAUUAGGUAGUAUUCCUUCUGUUUUGAUAAUGUGGAAUAGUUUGAGGAAUAUUGGUAUUAACUCUUCUUUUCUUUGAAAGUCCAGUAGAAUUCUCCACUAAAGCCAUCUUGCUCUGGGCUUUUUUUGUUUGUUUGUUUGUUUGUUUGUCUGUUUGUUUGUGAAACUUUUUUUAAUGAUAGCUUCUAUUUCUUUAGGAGUUGUGGAGUGUUUAGAUAGUUUACCUGUUCUUGAUUUAACUUUUGUACGUGGUAUCAGUCUCAAAAAUUUUGCUUAGAUUUUCCAGUUUUGUUGGGUGUAGGCUUUUGAAGUAAGACCUGAUGAUUUUUUAAUUUCCUCAGUUCCUAUUGUUAUAUAUCACUUUUCAAUUCUGAUUUUGAUAAUGUGGAUGCUAUCUCUGGACCUUUUAGUUAGUUUUGCUAAGGGUUUAUCUAUCUUGUUGAUGUUCUCAAAGAUCCAGCUCUUAGUUUUGCUGAUUCUUUGUAUAGUUCUUUUUGUUUCUAAUUCGUUGAUAUCAGCCCUGAGUUUGACCAUUUCCUGCCUUCUCUUGGUUGAGUUUGCUUCUUUUUGUUCUAGAGCUCUCAGGUGUGCUGUUAAGUUGCUGGUAUAAGAUAGCUCCAGUUUCUUUAUCAGUGCACUUAGUGCUAUGAAUUUUCCUCUUAGCACUGCUUCCAUUGUGUCCCAUCAGUUUGGGUAUAUUGAGCCUUCAUUUUCAUUGAAUUCUAGAAAUCCUUUAAUUUCUUUCUUUAUUUCUUCCCUGACAAGUUAUUAUUGGGUAGAAAGUUGUUCAGUUUCCAUGAGCAUGUGGGCUUUCUGUUGUUUCUAUUGUUGAAGCCCUGCCUUAGUCCGUGGUGAUCUGAUAGAAUGCAAAGGGUUAUUCAAUCUUCUUAUACCUGGUGAGGCUUGUUUUGUGUCUGACUAUAUAUUCAGUUUUGGAGAAAGUACCAUGAGGUGUUGAGAAAAAAGUAUAUUCUCUUGUUUUAAGGUGAAGUGUUCUGUAGAUAUCUGUUAAACCCAUUUUGCUCAUAACUUCUGUUAGUUUCACUGUGUCUCUGUUUAGUUUCUGUUUCAAUGACCUGUCCAUUGGUGAGAGUGGGGUAUUGAAGUCUCCCACUACUAUUGUGUGGAGUUAAAUGUGUGUUUUGAGCUGUAGUUCCUGUUCUCUUUCCUAGGGUUUCCAUCUCCAGGGUUGUCUCCAUUUAUGAUUUUUUUUAUUGCUUCUAUUUUCAUUUUUAGGUCUUGGACUGCUUUGUUCAUUUCCUUUACCUGUUUGAUUUUAUUUUCCUGUAUUCCUUUCAGGGGUUUAUUUGUUUCCUCUUUAAGGGGUUCUACCUGUCUGACUGUGUUUUCCUGUAUUUCUUUAAGGAAAUUAUUUAUAUCCUGUUUAAAGACCUCUAUCAUCAUCAUCAUGAAAUGGGAUUUAAGGUCAGAAUCUUUCUCUUCAGACGUGUUAGGAUAUCCAGGGCUUGCUCUAAUAGGAGAACUGGAUUCUGAUGGUGCCAUAUCGCACUGGUUUCUGCUGAUUAUGUUCUUGUGCUUGCCUUUCACCAUCUGGAUGACUCCGGUAUUAGCUGGUUGGAGUGCCCCAAAUUGGAUCAGGCUUCCUGGGAGACAGGUAGAGCUGAAGGAGGGGUAGGCAGGCCAAACUGUCAAGAGUGCAGGUGGAGGUGCAAACUGGAAGGGAAAUGGGGCUCCAACAGGGUGGGACAGAGCCCACAUUUCCUAGGCUCUAUGGGGUUCCAGCAUGGGGAUUGUAUGUGGGUCUCACCUAGAUUCCCUAAUUAGAGCAGUCCUCCUGAGAGACAGACAAGGCUGUGGAUUGGGGGACGGGCCAUGCUGAUCCACCAGGGAUGCAGAUGGAGGUAAAGACAGAAGGGAGAUGGGGUAUGACCCCUUUCACAGUGGCCACAGAACACAUAUUUACCACACAAUUCAUAACAGCAGCAAAAUUAUAGUUAUGAAGUAGCAAUGAAGAUAAUUUUAUGUUUGGGGGUGUCAGUACAUGAGGAACUAUAUUAAAGGGUCACAGCAUUAAGAAGCAUGACAGCCACUAUUCUAGAAGGUUUGUGUGACUGGAGAAAUGGCUCUGUCCAUGAGGUGCUUAAUUCUCAAGCCUGAAAACCCAAGCUCAGGUCCCAUCAUCCAUGGAAAAAGCCAGAUCCCUAGUCGGGGAGGGUGAACCGGGUAGAUUCUUGGGGCUCACUGAGCAGCUAACAUAACCAGAGAAGUGAGACCCAGGUACCACUGACAGACCUGUCUCAAAGACAAACAGAGACCUCCUGAGGAAUGACACCUGAGAUUCACCUCUGGCCUCUGCACAUGUGCAUGUGUAUCUACCUACACAAACAUGUACUACACACACAUGACCAUUCAUGUCCCCCAAAGCCCCAAAACAAGGUAGUUAUAUAAAAAUGAAAAGUAGAGGAGGUGGGACUUUUAUUUAUUUUUACUUUUUUUAAACAAAGAGUUACCAAAACAAAGUCCCUGAGACAAAAUAUGAAAAGUAUAACAUGAACAAAUCAAAACAGGUAGGAUAGAUAAGCCUGUUGAUGCUUUCCUUGUACAUUAAAGGCUUUAUGCCAAAAAUAUUAUUCCAAAAGCCCUACCAUCAAAAGAAACCAAAUAGCUUAAGAACAUAAAAAUAAGAAUAUGAACCAUUUUUGUGGAUCUAUACAUUAAAUACUAUCAGAAGAGUGACUCUAACCAGUACAGAUGUAUUCAAAUAAUUAAGACCAUAAAAAUAGGAUUUUAUAGAGAGUGACCACUGCAGUUUCUGAGUGAAAGGCGUGGAUUUGAGUAAGCCGAGGUCGGUGAGACAGAAGGUUCAUAAUUUCCUGGGCUACAGAGUGAGUUCAAAGCCAGCCCAGGCAACUCAGUGAGAUCUUGUUCUCAAAAUAAAUACUCAUAAGGCGAGGACUGGAAAUACUUAUUACUCAAUGCUAGAGUGACUACCCAGCAUCUGUGAGGCCCCAGGACCAAUCCUCCUCACAGCCAAGGAGGGGAAUUAAAGCAUGUAUUUGUAAGGCUAGCCGUUGGCAUUAAAUUGUUAAGUAUGCUUAGAUAUGCUCCAUGGUUGGAAAGAUAGCAAGAAAUCCAAGAAAGGGACCCAACAUUAACAGACUCAAAGAAAAUAAUUAUGGAUGUUAGCUAAAUUGAAAAAAAAAAACAUUUUAUUGGGAAUUGGAAAAGGCAGUGGAAUUGUAGCUAUACAGGAAGAAGACUUUUGUUAACAUUUUCUCAAUACUUAAUAUGAAAAUAUUCUGAAGGAUUCAGAAGCCAUCUGUCACCAUAAAACACUUCAAUGCUACAUAAGUAAAACAAAAUCGUGAUUUUGUUUAAAAAAAAAAAAAGAUUUGCGAGACACAAUUUUAACAAGAUUAGAGAUCAAGUUAUCUCACAGGACAAAAAAAAUAAAAUAAACAAUUUUAAUUCAUCAAAGACAAACAGAACCUUCCACUGGUUGUCUCUCUUUCUAAUCAAAGUAAAUAUCAAGAAUAUGAAAGGUUUUGAGCAAAAUCCACAUGUAGAAAUUUUGAACUGUAAAUCAGGAGUCUGUGUGCGUGCCUGAGCGUGCGCAUGAGCCUGUGCGUGCUAGAGCAAACUUCCUCGCUUAGACUAGGAAGCUAUUCUAUUGAAAAAACAUUCCCUAAACUCAGAAUUUGAUAUCUCUGUAUUAACGCUUUCCCUUUUGUACAUGUGUGUGGUAUGUGCACCUGUGCGGAUGUGUGUGUGUGUGUGUGUGUGUGUGUGUGUGUGUGUGUGUGUGUGUGUAGGUGCGGGCAGAGGCCUGGGGUUAUCGGGUUUCUUCUCCGAUCACACUCUACCUUACUCACUGAGGCAUAGUCUCAAUGGAGCCAAUAACUCACCUAGACAGGUCGUCUAGUUAGUCAGUGUUCUCUGAGGAAUCCCUUUUUGCGGUCCCUUAGGCCAGAGUUAGUGGGAGGGUCCCAUGCCCAUUAACAUUUCUGUGGGAGCUGGAGAACUAUCUAUGUUCUACCAUUUGCAUGGUGACUUCACUGCCUGCUAAGCCAUCUUCCCGGUCUCUCUGUGUUUAAUUUUUGUUACAUUUCUAUUUUUACAGGAUAAACAAUAACCAUGCGUAUCGUGAGGUACAAUGUGAUGCUUGGAUUUCUGUGUGCGUUGUGGUAUAAUCUAGUCGGGCUCAAUAACAUAUGGUCCAUUACAGGUACUUUUUGUGUCUUGGUAGGAAAAACAUUGACAAUGAACCUUUCGCUUAUUCUGAAACAUUAGUCACUCUGUUGGCAGUAGGUCACCUGAGCUCAAUUGUUCCCUCGUCCUUCCUCUCCACGUCCACACUCCUCCCCAGACUAUGGUAGCCACUCUUCCCCCAUAUAAUUCUGUGAGUUCUAGCACUGUACUCCACGCACGUGAAGUUGCAUGCUGUUGGUCUUUAUCUAGUCGAUUUUAGCUUCAUAACACUUAGGUCCAUCCAUGCUGUCUCAGAUGAGAGAAACCAAUGCUUCUUAAAUGUUGAGUACUAUGUCAUCGCACUUACCUUAUUCCUUUCCGAUUCUCAUUCCACACCCUGAUGAGUUCUUAAGAUCACAAUGAGCGUGGGAGUGUGGGAAUAUCUGCAACAUACAGUUUUCAAUUCCUCUGGAUAUGUACACAGAAGUAGAACUAAUGUACAACAUGGCGAUUGCAUUUUUCCUUUCCCAAGGAACCUCUGCCUUAUUUUCAAGAACAGCUGAAAUCAUUUGUGACAUCAUCAGUAGAACACAGGUGUUCUUUCUGCAUUUCUUCACCGACAUGUUUCUCAUCAUUAUCUUGGUUGUUUGACACAGGGCUCUCUUUGUAGUCCAGGCUGGCCUUGAACUAUCCCUUCCUGCUUUAGCCUCCCAAGUAUUAGGAUGAUAGCUGUGUGUAACCAUACCAGCCUUCUUUCAUUAUUUUGCCCAUAGCCAUCUUCAUAGGUAAGGGUGAUACGUUAUUGUGGUCCUAAAUUAUGUUUCUCUGUUAAAAAUGUUGGUCAUUUUUUCAUGUGUCAUUUGUAUGACAGCCUUUGAGAACCAUCUACUCAGGUCCUCUGACUGCUUUUUUAAUGGUGUUUGUUUUCUUGAGUUCUGCGUUGGUUCUGGAUGUUACUUCCUACCUGGCUUUGGGACAUUGUCUCCUGUUCUGGCUGCCUUCGCACUCUAUCAAUGAUGUCUUACUCUGCAGCAUCCUCUUCUAUCUGUUUGGAGACAACUUUCAUCAUGUUUUAGCUAAGGAUUUGCGCUGUGGGCUUAUCGUUUACUGGGGUUGCUGAAGUUUAAAAGGAAAACGGGCAAUAACGUGUCUGAGUCAACUCUUCUUGAAGAUGACAUCUCAUUCUGUCUUGCUAUUUAGGCCUGAGUGUCAACUUGUCAAGACCACGACUAUUGGAAAACUGUUUGAUGGCUGAAACUCUGUGGUGGAGCCCUGCUGUGCUGUAUCACAAAGUCACUUGAAAACCUAAAAUUCAAGUUCAAUAAAACAUUGAUAUUUUAA